RNAcentral lists this ribosomal RNA (492 nucleotides) under uncultured bacterium. RNAcentral's name for it is "bacterial SSU rRNA". It matches the Rfam family "Bacterial small subunit ribosomal RNA", at positions 29 to 509 of the family's 1533-position model. The record is from RNAcentral.
AGUGAACGCUGGCGGCAGGCCUAAUACAUGCAAGUCGAACGGCAGCACAGCAGAGCUUGCUCUGUGGGUGGCGAGUGGCGGACGGGUGAGGAAUACAUGGGAAUCUGCCCAGUCGUGGGGGAUAACGUAGGGAAACUUACGCUAAUACCGCAUGCGCCCUUCGGGGGAAAGCCGGGGACCUUCGGGCCUGGCGCGAUUGGAUGAGCCCAUGUCGGAUUAGCUAGUUGGCGGGGUAAUGGCCCACCAAGGCGACGAUCCGUAGCUGGUCUGAGAGGAUGAUCAGCCACACUGGAACUGAGACACGGUCCAGACUCCUACGGGAGGCAGCAGUAGGGAAUAUUGGACAAUGGGCGCAAGCCUGAUCCAGCCAUGCCGCGUGAGUGAAGAAGGCCCUCGGGUUGUAAAGCUCUUUUGUCCGGAAAGAAAGCGACCGGGUUAAUACCCUGGUGUCCUGACGGUACCGGAAGAAUAAGCACCGGCUAACUUCGUGCC